UUUGGGCACAGGUGAUGGAUUGUAGAAUAUGUAAUAAUGUGGAAAUAGUUUACUAAUGUUAUUGGAUGUAGAGUGCAUGAUCUUUCACUUUUGAUUUGUUAUUGGAUGUAGAGUGCAUGAUCUUUCACUUUUGAUUGAGUGUUAAUGUAGUGUUAUCAUCUCUGGAAUGAUUUUUCUUGCACAUUAUGAAUAUGAUUAAGCGAUCUUGCUAAGUCCAUGAGCAAACUAUGAUAGACGUACUUUCACUUUUGUAUUAAAAAUUUGAGUCUCUGUUUAGUGACGGAAUCAGUAAUUAAAUUGGCAGUAAUGCAUUUUUAUGCAGCUGUAUAUAGUUUUAUCCUUGUCUCAUUAUUUUUUCCAAAUUGCAACUCCAAGUGCUGUUUACUUCUUAGAAGAUCUAAUAUGAUGGGUUCUCUAAUUAUCAUUAAUUCUUACAGG
RNAcentral lists this long non-coding RNA (438 nucleotides) under Durio zibethinus. RNAcentral describes it as "long non-coding RNA (DZIB_LNC002056)". Lineage: Eukaryota; Viridiplantae; Streptophyta; Magnoliopsida; Malvales; Malvaceae. The record is from RNAcentral.